AAGAGUUUGAUCAUGGCUCAGAUUGAACGCUGGCGGCAGGCCUAACACAUGCAAGUCGAGCGGCAGCACAAGUGA
RNAcentral lists this ribosomal RNA (75 nucleotides) under Pseudoalteromonas luteoviolacea B = ATCC 29581. RNAcentral's name for it is "Small Subunit Ribosomal RNA; ssuRNA; SSU rRNA". The record is from RNAcentral. Lineage: Bacteria; Pseudomonadati; Pseudomonadota; Gammaproteobacteria; Alteromonadales; Pseudoalteromonadaceae.